GAUGAACGCUGGCGGCGUGCUUAACACAUGCAAGUCGAACGGAAAGGCCCAAGCUUGCUUGGGUACUCGAGUGGCGAACGGGUGAGUAACACGUGGGUGAUCUGCCCUGCACUUCGGGAUAAGCCUGGGAAACUGGGGCUAAUACCGGAUAGGACCACUUCUUGGAUGUUGUGGUGGAAAGUUUUUUCGGUGUGGGAUGAGCUCGCGGCCUAUCAGCUUGUUGGUGGGGUAAUGGCCUACCAAGGCGUCGACGGGUAGCCGGCCUGAGAGGGUGUACGGCCACAUUGGGACUGAGAUACGGCCCAGACUCCUACGGGAGGAAGCAGUGGGGAAGAUUGCACAAUGGGCGCAAGCCUGAUGCAGCGACGCCGCGGGGGGGAUGACGGCCUUCGGGUUGUAAACUCCUUUCGCUAGGGACGAAGCGUUUUGUGACGGUACCUGGAGAAGAAGCACCGGCUAACUACGUG
RNAcentral lists this ribosomal RNA (467 nucleotides) under uncultured bacterium. Its description in RNAcentral is "partial 16S ribosomal RNA". It matches the Rfam family "Bacterial small subunit ribosomal RNA", at positions 28 to 507 of the family's 1533-position model. The record is from RNAcentral.